This 140-nucleotide unclassified non-coding RNA is filed under the name uncultured fungus. RNAcentral's name for it is "sequence contains ITS1". The record is from RNAcentral. Lineage: Eukaryota; Fungi.
CCGUGGGGAUUCGUCUCCAUUGGGAUAGCACCCUUUGCUCACAGGCACCCUUUCGUUUCCUCGGCGGGCUCGCCCGUCGGUGGACCAUUGCAAACCCUCCUGUAGUAGGCAGUACCUUCAGUAAGCAAAGCGAAAUGUCA